GAUGAACGCUGGCGGCGUGCCUAAUACAUGCAAGUCGAGCGAACAGAUGAGGAGCUUGCUCCUCUGACGUUAGCGGCGGACGGGUGAGUAACACGUGGAUAACCUACCUAUAAGACUUGGAUAACUUCGGGAAACCGGAGCUAAUACCGGAUAAUAUAUUGAACCGCAUGGUUCAAUAGUGAAAGACGGUUUUGCUGUCACUUAUAGAUGGAUCCGCGCCGCAUUAGCUAGUUGGUAAGGUAACGGCUUACCAAGGCAACGAUGCGUAGCCGACCUGAGAGGGUGAUCGGCCACACUGGAACUGAGACACGGUCCAGACUCCUACGGGAGGCAGCAGUAGGGAAUCUUCCGCAAUGGGCGAAAGCCUGACGGAGCAACGCCGCGUGAGUGAUGAAGGUCUUAGGAUCGUAAAACUCUGUUAUUAGGGAAGAACAAAUGUGUAAGUAACUAUGCACGUAUUGACGGUACCUAAUCAGAAAGCCACGGCUAACUACGUG
This 497-nucleotide ribosomal RNA is filed under the name uncultured bacterium. Its description in RNAcentral is "partial 16S ribosomal RNA". It matches the Rfam family "Bacterial small subunit ribosomal RNA", at positions 28 to 507 of the family's 1533-position model. The record is from RNAcentral.